UUAAACUGUAUAUUACUCAUACUAUGGCCUGUUGCCUUGCUACCUGGGUGCUUGUAAACUAAAGAGGAUCAAGGCCUAGUCAGUUCUUGGAUGGGUGACCACCAAGAAAAAUUUAGGAUGCUGUUAAAU
RNAcentral lists this ribosomal RNA (129 nucleotides) under Chrysemys picta bellii (western painted turtle). Lineage: Eukaryota; Metazoa; Chordata; Testudines; Emydidae. The record is from RNAcentral.